UGGCGGACGGGUGAGUAAUGUCUGGGAAACUGCCCGAUGGAGGGGGAUAACUACUGGAAACGGUAGCUAAUACCGCAUAACGUCGCAAGACCAAAGCGGGGGACCUCCGGGCCUCGCGCCAUCAGAUGAACCCAUAUGGGAUUAGCUAGUAGGUGAGGUAACGGCUUACCUAGGCGACGAUCCCUAGCUGGUCUGAGAGGAUGACCAGCCACACUGGAACUGAGACACGGUCCAG
Molecule: ribosomal RNA, 235 nt
Filed under: uncultured bacterium
Lineage: Bacteria
Description: partial 16S ribosomal RNA
Rfam family: Bacterial small subunit ribosomal RNA
Source: RNAcentral